RNAcentral lists this ribosomal RNA (466 nucleotides) under uncultured bacterium. RNAcentral describes it as "partial 16S ribosomal RNA". It matches the Rfam family "Bacterial small subunit ribosomal RNA", at positions 28 to 507 of the family's 1533-position model. The record is from RNAcentral.
GAUGAACGCUGGCGGCGUGCUUAACACAUGCAAGUCGAACGAUGAAGCCCAGCUUGCUGGGUGGAUUAGUGGCGAACGGGUGAGUAACACGUGAGUAACCUGCCCUUAACUCUGGGAUAAGCCUGGGAAACUGGGUCUAAUACCGGAUAGGAGCGUCCACCGCAUGGUGGGUGUUGGAAAGAUUUAUCGGUUUUGGGUGGACUCGCGGCCUAUCAGCUUGUUGGUGAGGUAAUGGCUCACCAAGGCGACGACGGGUAGCCGGCCUGAGAGGGUGACCAGCCACACUGGGACUGAGACACGGCCCAGACUCCUACGGGAGGCAGCAGUGGGGAAUAUUGCACAAUGGGCGCAAGCCUGAUGCAGCGACGCCGCGUGAGGGAUGACGGCCUUCGGGUUGUAAACCUCUUUCAGUAGGGAAGAAGCGAAAGUGACGGUACCUGCAGAAGAAGCACCGGCUAACUACGUG